Molecule: long non-coding RNA, 42154 nt
Filed under: Salvia miltiorrhiza (redroot sage)
Lineage: Eukaryota; Viridiplantae; Streptophyta; Magnoliopsida; Lamiales; Lamiaceae
Description: long non-coding RNA (SMIL_LNC005362)
Source: RNAcentral
GUUAACCGGGGUUAUGACUUGGGGUGAACAAUAAGAAAUGGAAAUGGACAAUUACUUAACAUUAAAGUAUAUGGAAAUGUCACUCAUAGAUAAAAUGCUAGGAUCAUAUAUGAUUAUUUGGAUACUUAUAAAACAUACACAUAAAUGAGAACUGAUUAAGGUGGGUUACCCAAUAACACGUAUCCCAACUUCAUAACAUAGGGCUAUCCUAAUCAACGUAUUUUGCAGCGGAAAACGUGUGAGAUAUACAUAUGAAGAUGUAUACUCAAGGUUACAUUUCUUGAAAUGAUCAAAGGAACACCCGCUCAACACCAUUCCAUUCCAUCAGCUGCUCAACCUGCACAUUUAGAAAUACAUGCAGGGCUGAGUAUAAAAAUACUCAGUGGGCACGUAUGCCUAAGUAUAAAAAUACAUGCUUCAAAACUGUAAAUUGUCAUGCCAUCAUAAACAGUACAGCAAGGGAGUUUUUCGCUAAAAGGCCCAAGCUUACUAAAUUCAUUUGUGAUUCUUAAAGUUCGACUGCAGUCUAUAUUCUCUUGUAAUCCAUUUCCAUUUCUUAUUGUUCACCCCAAGUCAUAACCCCGGUUAACCCGUCAUUGGGAUAGUGGGCUGUGACAGGUGGUAUCAGAGCCGAACCUCUCCCAGUACGGUGUGGUUCGAGGACGAACCAAGCGGAAGCUGGUGGGCCUGUGACGCUCGGGGACGAAGUGCGGAGUGAUCGCCGGUGCAAAAGAGGCACGGACAAGGAGCGGCUCCGAUUAGGACUUCUAAGCGGAGGGGCGCAGGGAUGAACCGGAACACACCCGAACGAGAGGGAUUCCGAGAAUAUGCAGGUAUGAGACUGCAUAUUCGAGGAGAGCUUAAAUGAUUUGAUAGGUGCUACUCAUAUCAAUAAGAUGCAUCUUCUUUUCUGGUGCCCACACGGAAGAAACUCCAAGGUUAAGCGUGCUUGGCUUGGAGCAAUUCCGGGAUGGGUGACCCCCUGGGAAAUUUCUCAGGGAGCGUGCGAGUGAGGACAAAACACGCUAGAAAAGACUCGUAUUGGUCUGUGGGGACAGCCGUCAAGUCUGGAGCCGGACUGUUACAACUAUAUCGAAGAAGAAGUUGAGAAGGGUGAUGAAGUGGAGCCAAGUUUGGCAGAGAGACGUCAACGCAGAGAGAUUAGAAGGCCUAAUCGUUUCACCAAUUAGUAUUCUUUAUUUUAUGUCUUUUAAUUAGAUUAUGGCUAAGGCCCAUUAGCAUAGGGCCUCGUUAGUUGUUUACCUUUUCCUAUAUAAGGCUAUGAUUUAUUGUUCUAGGGUAUGCUUGAAAUAAUUUUCUCAUAGAGACGGCUGUUCUUACGUGAUCGUGAGAAUUUGCAGGAGUUUCACGUUCUCUUUAGCGUGAUUAUUAAUACAUCUCGUAUUAAUUGGUGCUUUCAUUGAGAGCCUUCACUCUCUCUCGGGCGCCGCUCAGCCCCGUUCUCUUCGCUUAUGGGGCAGCAUACAUAAUGAUUGAUAAUGGUAGCACUCAUAAUUUUAUCACCCCUAACCUUGCAGAGCGCCUCAAGUUAUCGCUUACUGCCAUCCCAAAUUUUCGGGUGUAUAUUGGCAAUGGAGAUUUUAUUAUUUGCCAACAUAAAUGCAUGGCUGUUUCUAUUGAUCUUCAAGGGACUUCUUUCACCUGCGAAUUAUUUGUGUUGCCAAUCAAGGGGCCUGAUAUUAUUCUUGGUAUUCAAUAUUGGCUCCAAGAAUUAGGCCAAGUAACUCAUGAUUAUCGGUGUGGUCGUAUGGAGUUUGAGUGGCAUGGCAAGCGGGUUAUUCUGGAUGAUGAUAACUCUUUGACUUCUCAUCAAGUUAGUUUCUCCAUGUUGCAGUCACUUGUAAACUCUGGUGAGGUCGAGGUCGACACUAUUUAUGAAAUCUGGCAUAUUGGCUCCACGCCACCGAGCACUCCAUCCAUCCCAUCAGUUGAUCUUCAAACCAUCCCUCCGGCUUUCCACAAGGUCCUCACUGAAUUUACUGAUGUCUUUGAUGCCCCGCGCGGCCUUCAUCUCGGCGUUACACGAGUAACAUCAAUCGUUUAUCGUUUAGAGCGUUAUUGAUGCUCUAAGGAGGCCAAUCGAGCAUGCAACCCAUUAUUUUUUCCACAAUUUUGUGUGUCAGCGUGCUCCACUAUUAUUUGUAUUAUAUUAACGAUCCUUUUUAAUUAUAAACAUAAAUGUUAUUCUAAUAUCAUGAAUUAUACUCCUACUUACCUUUCAUUUGCAUAAAAUUGAUUCUUUUUUUAAAAAUACACUAGCUAGAUAAUAAAUUAUCAUGUAAUAAACUAAAUAUAAAUAAUAAAAAUUAGUUGUAUACCCUAACUGGACGAAAUAAACCUUGGUGAAUAAUACUCCCUCCGUCCACGAAAGAACUUCCUAUCUUUCAUUUUUGGGACGUCCACAAAAGAACUUCCUACCUAUUUUUGGACUAUAUCCCACCACUUAUAAUCCUCUUACUUUUCACUUUUCACAACUCUCAAUAUUAAUUAUAACACCUUUUCAUCACUCCCAAUACACUCAACUACCUUUUAUCCACUCUCAAUACACUCAACAAUAUUUUUUCUUAAAACCUGUGCCACUCCCUCCUAAGAAGUUCUUUCAUGGACGGAGGGAGUAUAAUACUAUUUUUAAAAAAAAUUACUUCCUCUGUCCCUGAAAUAAGUUCCUCUUUGGGACGACACGAGUUUUAAGGAAAAGUGGUAAAAUGUAUUGAUAGUGGGAAAAAAUGCGUUAUAAUUAUUAUUGGGAGUAGUGAAACUGUGGAAAAGUGUUAUAAUUAGUAUUGAAAGUGGUGAAAAAGUGAAAAGUAAGAAUAAAUAAAAAUUAUUAGUGUUAUGGUAGUUGUCCAAAAAUAGAAAGAUAGAAAGAGGAACUAAUUUGGAGGACGUCCUAAAAAGGGAAAAAAAAGAAGAAUUUAUUUCAGCGACAGAGGGAGUACUAAUAUAUAGUAAACCAAGUGAAGUAAAUUAGAUCUUAAGUUGACUUCUCCUACAUAAUUUUGUUGAGCUCAUAUUAACCAAGAACCAUUAAUGGUGUCCGCGUGGAAGCUUCAAACCCACCAAGAGUAAAAAUCAUACUACAAAGACUUGCUUUUGGGGUCUUCGUUGAAGCUUCUAACGCGCUAUAAACACGCAGGAGAUGGAGUAAUUAAAUGUCGUGUGCAUUUCUUGUUUGGUUACAUAGAAUUUGAGAUUGAAGCAGAGACGAAGCAUAGCAUAGUGGGAAAUAGGCCAAUCGUUCCAAUCCAGUAGAUGAAUUCUUCAAAAUAUACCCAAAUUUCUUCUACAAUAUAUUUGCAGCAUUAGGGAAAAAAAAAAAAAACAUUGUUACGUACUUACGUUAAUUUGUUCAUUUCAAAUUAAUGAAUUUUAAUAGUUUGCGCAUGUGUAAUUCUCACUAAAUUUCAAUCAUAUAUGUAAUAUAUUUAUCUAUUAGUAUAACUUCAUAUAUGGGAUAGAUUCAAAUAGUACCCAUAUAUUUUUCUUGAAGGAACCCAGCUAAAGACAAAUGUAUCCACUCGCAGUAUUCAACUACUUUAUUAAAACUUUGUGUCCUUUAGAAGUAGAUACAUUUUAUUUGUUUUUGUUCGUUUAAAUAAAAUAAUAUACUCCAUCCGUCCAUGAAAUGGUUUCCUCUUUGGGGAUGGCACGGGUUUUAAUGAAAAGUUGUAAAAUGUAUUGAUGGUGGAGAAAAAAUGAUAUAAUUAUUAUUGAAAGUUGUGAAAAGUGUAAUGAUUAGUAUUGAGAGUAUUGAAAAGUGUUAUAAUUAGUACUGGGAGUAGUGAAAAGUGAAAAGUAAGAAUAAAUAAAGUAUUGUUAGUGGUUGGGUAGUUUUCCAAAAAUGGAAAAAAAGAAAGAGGAAGUUAUUUGUGGGACGUCCCAAAAUGGAAAAAGAGAAAGUUAUUUCAGGGACGGAGGGAGUAUAUAAUUUAUUUUUGAUAAAUUUUAUAAUCAUAAUAAAAUGAGACCCGUAUUUCACUCACACCAUAUUUAAUUAUUUUAUUAAAAUCUAUGUCGUUUAGAAGUAGAUACAUUUUAAGUACUUGUAGGUAGGGGCGGAUCCAGGAAUUUACGUUGGGGGGCUGAAUUUGUUGAACUACGACGUCUGAAAAUAUUUACACAGGGGUUCAGGGGCGGGAGCCCCCGAAGCAAAUUUUUUUGAGCAUUCCGUACACUUUGUUUUCAUGCAUUUUUUUUAACAAUUACUUAAUAAAAUAGAUAAUUGUUCGCAAUUCAAUUAAUUCAAACAUCAAGUAGAUUGAAAACAUAUAAAGACAUACUUUUAUGCAUUUAAAAAAAUUAACUAUAGAAUUGACUCAAAUUUAACAUUAAAAAUUAACUAAGAAAGAAAAAAAAAAUUAACUUUAGAAAUUGACUCAAAUAUAACAUUAAAAAUUAACUAAGAAAGAAAAAAUGAUAAAAAUAGCAUAAAUGUAACAAAUCAAUGUGUUAAGGAAUUAAUAUUGAUAGUUGAAUACUAUAAACAAUGUAUUACUAUAGUUUUUCUUGUAUUUCUUAUUUAUAUACACACAUAUAUAGAUAUUAAAUUAAAUAAAAUAUAUAUGGUGGACGUCGUUUUUCACCAAAUAAUUCCUGCAGAAUUAUCAAGAACUAAUUAGUACACCGAUAAGCAGGGUCGAUCCCACAGAGAGCAGAUAAAACCAUUCAAUUCCCUAAAAUCUAUAAAAUUGGUGUAGCCACCACACCUUAAAUUGGGAGAAAAUAUUAAUUAAACUAAGAAAACAAAAUUAAUCAAAUAAAAGACUCUAGAAAAAUAUCAAUAGAAAGGUAAUUCGGCUCAAAUAAAUCCACACUAAUUCAAAGCUCUGAUCAUCGACGCAAUAAUUAAUUAAUGUGUCAAUAUAUAAAAAUACCCACUUUCAUAUAGCAAAAAUAAAUUUUACCCACUAGGAUAAAAACAUAAAAUUUUACCCACUUUUUGAACGAAAAGACUAAAAUACCCCUCCUUAAAUAUUUGCAAUUCUCGCCCCUCUCUCUCAUUCCUCUCUCCACUCUCUCUCUCUCUAUCUAUCUCUCUCUCUCUCACACACACACACACACAGACGAUUAAGGUGGCAGAUCAAUUGGAGGCGGCGGUUCGACUGGAGCACGGCGGUGGCGGCCGAGGGCGGCGAUGGCGACAUCGGCGUUUCCGCCGCGCGUUCCUCUCCUCAUCUCCAAUCUCGGCGUGUCUCUCUUCUUCUUCUCUUCGCUCUCGGUCUCUCAUCUCUCUUUCCCUGCGCUCGCACUCCUCUUUUUCUCUCUAUCUGCUAGAUCUAUGGCAGCGGCGACUGCGUGUCGUAGAUGAGGCGGAUGAAGUGGCGGCUAGGGUUUGGUUGUACUGUGGUCAUCGGGAUUUGAGAGGAGACCGGAUUUGGGAGCCUAGGGUUUGGCGGCGGCGGCCCUACCGUCGUUCAGAUCGGAACGGGAAAGAGACGAGCGAGGGGAAGGGAGAUGUGUGGGGGUGGCCGUUGUCUCUUCUUCCGCGGGGGCUGCCGCCUUGUAUCAACGAAGGUCUGAUGCAGCCGCCGCCGCCGCUCUCUCUCUCUCUCUCUCCUCUCGCUCUCUCUCUCAUCGCAGAUCUUCUCUCCCUCUCGAUCUGUUCUGUCGCCGCCGCUGGUUUCGCUGCUGGGUACCGCUGCCCUAUUCCCACUCUUCCCUCUCUGAAAUUGCAUCGCAUCUCUCUCUUCGUAAAUCUCUGCUCCUCUCCAUCACUGCAAAUCUCCUCAUGUUUGAAUUUUGAUGAAGCUUGUUCUAGAAUGAAUUUGAAUUAGGAUGAAAUUUGAUGCUGAUGAGAAUGAUUGCCGAUGAGAAUGAUUGCCGAUGAAUUUCUGCAGAUUGGAUAAAUUUCUUCCUAAUUCAAUUGAACGUAAUCGAAAAAACAUAUAAGCAACGAAGAAAUUGAUGAAAAUCGCGCAAUUUUGUACAAAUGUUCUUGAAUUCACAACCAGGUUUAUGAAUUCACAACUGAAUUAUCAGCGUUGGUUGUGAAUUCACAAUUGAAAUAGUGUUGGUUGUGAAUUCAAGUUUCAUUGGUUGUGAAUUCACAAUUUGAAAUAAUGUUGGUUGUGAAUUCAAGUUUUAUCGGUUGUGAAUUCACAACUCGAAAUAAUGUUGGUUGUGAAUUCACGCGAAUUCACAACCAACACUUGUUAUUCACAACCAAUACUUGAAUUUAGUUGUGAAUUCGAGUUGAAUUCACAACCAGUGAACAGUGGGUAUUUGUAAAAUUUUAUAUGUAAGGGUAAAAUGGUAAAUGUGGGUAUUUUUUAAAGUUUUUAUAUUAGUGGGUAAAAUUUAUUUUUACUAUAUAAAAGUGGUUAUUUUCAAAAUCCACUCUUAAUUAAUCCCUGAAAAAUUCGAACUCUGCCACUUCUUGAAUAAUCCGCCAAUCUCCAAACAAGAAGAGUUAAAACAAUUAAAAUUCUCCUAAUCAAACUAAGCUAUACGUAAGUGCUAGAAAAGUAAAGAAUCAAAUGUUGUAAAAGUAAAAACUAAAAAUCAACCUAAUUCUAAUUAUAUAUUAAAAGUGGCGGCUAGGUCAUUAGACUUAAACUAAGGGAAUUAACUCCCACAAUUCACAAAUAGCCGCCUACUUCAAAUUCGGCUGCCAAAAUUCGAAUAAAAAGGCCCAAUUACAUAACUAAUCAAAAGUUUAAAGUUUAAUUAAAAUCCAAGCAAAUAUUCCAAGCCCAAAUCGUCUUCCAUCCACAAGAGUCAUCCAACUUUAUCAAUCUCCAUGCAAUACUCGAUUAAUUACCAUGCAAAAUUCGAUCAACGUCCACUUCUUCCAUCCACAAGUUCCAUCUCCAAUUUUGCUCAAUUCCUACAUCCAAAAUACCACACAACCAUGUAAAACCAUAUAAAACCAUGACGAAACACACACCAAACUAAGUAGCUAAAAUACACACAUCAAUAUAUCUAUAUUAUAAAAAAAAAAACUAAAAAAUUGGAGGGGGCUGAAGCCCCCCCUUGGAUCCGCCAAUGCUUGUAGGUGUAUCUCUGGCCAGUAGGGGUGAGCAUCAGUUCGGUUCAGUGCAAAACCGAACUAAAAACUCAAAACCGAAAACCGAACCGAUGGUUAAAAUUGGAACCGAACCGCACCAAUUGGGGGUCCGAAACCGAACCGAUAAAACCAUCGGUGAACCGAACCAAACGAUGCAAUUUAUUUUAUUUUAUUUUAUUUUAUUCAAAAAUACAAAUUAAAAAUGGUAAAAUAAUGUAAAAUACACAAAUUUCAAAUAUCAAAUCCCCACAACAUGAACAUGAUAAAUAAUUAUAUAUUAUAAUUGUGAAUUAGGAUUUUAGUUUUAUGUUAAAAAAUUAGAAAAAUAAUUAUAUAUUAUAAAAUAAUUAUAUAUAAUAAAAUAUUAAUAUGUAUCGGUUCGAUUCGGUUUAAAACCAAACCAAAAAAUGGAAACCGACACCAAACCGAAAAUUUUCAGUUUUUACUUUUCAAAACCGAACCGAAAACCGAACCAAUGGAAUUGGGACCUAACCGCACCAAUCCGGUUCGGUUCGGUUCGGUUUUUAGUGUCGGUUCGGUUUCUGCUCACCCAUACUGGCCAGCUCCUACACAAUCCUCACAACACUGUGAAGGCUCUCUUAAAGGCUUUAAAUGCGGUAAAUGAGAGGAAUUAUAUAGUUAUGUGUAUUUGGAGGCAAAUUUUAUAGUUAUGUAUAAAACUAGAAUUGAUUGAAAGUUUGUGUAUGUAGGCGCAACGAACCCAUUGAAAUUUGCAGUUCCUUAAAAUUUAAUUAAUUGCACAAUAUUCAUCAAAUUUCCUCUUGAAUUGAAUAACAUGCUAGUUUUUUUGAGAUGAUUGAAUAACAUAGGUCUAGCAGAUUUUUGUAAAACAAGACACUUUUAUAAUAAGUAUAGAUUAUAGAUACUAAACAUAUGAUUUGUCUUGCUAAAAAUAAAAAUAAUUAAAAAUAAGUAAAAUAUAAAGUUAUAAGGAAAAAUCAUGUGUUUUUGCGAGGCAAUGUGGGUAAAAAAUCUAUGCAUUUUUUUCUUUGGAUUUAAGACGAGAGAAUAGAGAAUUGAAGUCCAGUUAUUUAGGUUAGUAAGAAGAUGAAUAGAAAAGAUUUGUGAUAAAUUAAUUAAUUUAUUAGUAAAAUAAAAAGAAGGGUUAAGGUGCAGAUUCGUCCCUGAACUCGACUCCCCUAGAGCGUUGAGCCCCCCAUACUCGGUCAAGGCGCGUUGACCUCCCUGAACUCCCGAAAGAAGGGUGCAUUUAAGUCCACUCGUUUAACGGCUGUUAAACACCGUUUAACUUUAAUCUUUUCUCUUUUUUUUUUGCGGUGGGUCCCACUCCUCUCUCUCUCUCUCCAAUGGAUUCCCUCACUGUCAAAGCGUACACGACGAGGACGCGAAAGGGGAAGGUUUCAAGCCACGACGGCAAAACAAGGUGGCCAAGACAAGCAAACCCCGAUCGAUCUCCAGCGGCGAAAGCGUGAAAGGGUACAAGAAAAUCCUGGUGCUUACACCGACUACGAGCGGCAGCGGAAGCCGGAGAAGACAAUUGCUGUACACCCCCAUAACGAUGUGCCCACCAUCUCCCCCGCAACUUCACGGCGUCUCCUGCAACUCCUCGCAUCUCCUCUUCUCCCUCCAAACCCUCACUCUCCAAAACUCAAACAUCUCCGGCUCCAUCUCCGCGCCGCCAAACUUCCCUCCGCCCCGCCCUCACCUCACUAGAUAUGUCCCAAAACUUCCUCUCCGACCUUUCCGCCCUCGCCGCCUGCCCCGCCCUCACCUUCCUCAACCUCUCCUCAAACUCCAUCGACCCACUCCCCCCUCCCCACCAGCGCCGCCGCAAUACCCUCCCUAAAAACCCUCGAUCUCUCCCACAAAACAUUCCUGCGACACCUCGCCGCAUGGCUCCUCUCCGGCGCCGAAUUCCCUCCCUGCAGCAUCUCUCACCCCAAUUCAACAACCUCGUCGGAAUCCUCCCCUCCAAGAACCUCGCGCAUUUGGAUCUCGCUAGAAACAACAUCUCCCUCAAUUUCCCCAAUUCACGACUGCUCAGCUUGCAGCACCUGCUACUUUAGUUUCAUACCAAAAUGUUAACAGAGACGGCGGAGUCGAGCAGCAGACGAACCAGUAGAGGCCACGGCGAGGACGAUGCGGCGGUGGAGAAGAGAUGAGGGAAUCCAUUGGAGAGAGAGAGAGGAGUGGACCCACCGCAAAUAUAUAAAAAAAUUAAGUUAAACGGCGUUUAACAGCCGUUUAACAGUGACUUAAAUGCACCCUUCUUUCUGGAGUUCAGGGAGGUCAACGCGCCUUGACCGAGUAUGGGGGGCUCAACGCUCUAGGGGGUCGAGUUCAAGGACCAAUCUGCACAUUUGCCCUUUUUUAAAUAGUAAAAUUUAUGAAAAUUGGGGUGUUAUAGUUCCUCUGCAUCUCUACACUAUCUUUCUCGCAGAAGAGUAAAAACUCCCCAAUCAGCCCAAUUUCUAUACUUUCACCUCAACCGCUCAUCUAACUCUGACGAGUAGCCAUCAGCGUCGUAACAACAGCAACACCACUGCCUUCUUUUCCGGCCGAACAACAAUGGACUUUACCAUCACCGUCAACCUGCACCUUUACACUUGAAACCUCCUUGACUGACUUUCUCUCUCUCUCAGACGAAUAACAUCAGUAGACUAUCAUCUUUUCUUUAUUAUUUUAAUCCAUGUGUAUUGAUAACGUGGUAAUUGGUCGAAACACAUCAAUUAUCGGUCGUGAGAUUGUUUUUGCAGACCACAAAAAAAAAUAGAACGAUGGAUAUUUGUUCGCAAUUUAUUUUCACUAGGCCGCAAGUAUACAUGUAGUUGCAAUAAGUGGAAAUAAGGUCGUAUCCCACGAGGAUUAGUGGCUAAAUUCUAUUGAUUAUCCUAAUUUAUUGAGUUAUGGCUAUUUAGACUAAGUAGUGAAGUGAGUGGUUUGAUUAUCUAAUUGAUUACCUAACAAAUUCAAAGACAAUUAAGAACAAAUAAAUAAAGUAGAUUACUUAUGUAACACCCCAAUUUUCAUAAACUUUUCAAACUAAAAUCUUUGAAGAACUAAUAGUUAAAAUAAAAUAUUUUGACUAUCAAAAUUUAAACUAAUUUAAAAAUCAACUUGCCAGAACUAAAAUAGUAACAUGAAAUAAAAACGAUAAUUUAAAACGUAACAAGUUUACUUAAAUUUUCUAUGCAAAAUCUUUAUCUCUACUCAUUCUCAACUUCCAUGGCCACCUCGACUCCAGAACUGCAAAAACUGAAAGGAAAAGAGGGUGAGCAUAUUGAAAAAUAUACUCAGUGAGGAACAUAACAAAUAUCCAUAUACGUCACAUAUAUAAUUAAAUCACGUUAUGGUAACAUGUAGUACUUGCAAACAUGCGCCAAGGGGUAGAGACCUAAGCCCCUUGACGAAACAUAAACAUAGCUUGAGUCAAUGGAGUAGAUCUCAUGACCAAUCGUAGACGUAACCUAAGUCAAUAAGGUAGAGACAUAAGCCUCAUGACUUAGUCAUAAACUUAUAACAUGAAUCGAUGGGAAGCCCCAUGAUUAAAUCGUAGACGUAACCUAAGUCAAUGAGGUAGAGACGUAAGUCUCAUGACUUAGUCAUAAUCAUAAAAUGAGAUGCACGUAAACACGUAAUCAAACAUGAAAGUAAAACAUAUAUAACAAUAUGAAUAAGUGUAAAAUCCUUCACCUUAAUGUCGUAGACAAUAAAAUCAACAAAUUCUGGAAUGAAGGUCUUAAUCGCACUGAUUUAUGCCUAAUUGUUCUUAUUUUAGGGGUUUGCAUGUGCGUAUUUUAAGUUAAAUAUUCUGAAAAUUGGUGCGUUUAUGGGUUUGUUUUAUGCUUUACAGGAGAUUUAAGUUUUAUAGAUGGAAGAGUGUAAUUUUGGAGAUUUUGGGUAAGAUUGGCGUUUUUAGGCGCAAUCUGGUGUCCAGAGCUGAAAGCCCGCGCUAGAGCAGAGCUGAAAAGGCGCAUGACAGAGCAGAGCUCACAUCGUCAAACCAGAAAUCCUAUCUCCAGAGCUGAACUUCACUAUCAGAGCUGAAAUCUCCAUAGCAGAACAAACUUGUCAGAGCAGAGCUAAACUCGACAGAGCUGACUUACGCGCCAGAGUAAACACAGACCAGAGCUGCGAAGAAUCGACAGAGCUAGAGCAAAUAUCCAGAGCUGAAUCCCGUCAGCAUAUUGCCAGAGCUGACUUCCAGCUCUGCCUUGCCAGAUUGAACUUUCCAGAGCUGACUUUCAGCUCUAUCAUACCUUUCCAGAGCCGAACUUCCAGAGUUACAGAGCAGAGUUACGAUUUCUCGCCAGAGUUAAGAUGACUUGCAGAGCACGAUCCAGCUGGACUUACCUUUGAAUGCACGAUUCUAUUUCCUUAAGAGUCCAGUUUUGCAAGGCGAGUUUGAUGAUAAUUAGGGUUGAAGGAAGUCUAUAAAAGGGGCUUGAACGUGAAUGAAGAAAUCAAUCUUUUGCCUCUGGCACUUAGUUAGACUUAGUUAGAAUCAAUCUCGCCCUAAUCUUUAGUUUUCGCCUAGGUAGUUAAAGUUUAGGUUUUUAUUGCUUUCAAAGUUCUUAGUUUCGAUUUCAGUUCUUAGUUAGUUUAUUAUAGUUCUUUCAAUUCAAGUUUUAGUUGGUUCCCGUUUAGAGUUGUAAUCACGUGACAGGUUGCUUCUCGAGACGUUUUACGGUAUUUAAUUUAAUUUACUUGUUUUGUUACGUUUAUGCGUUUCUUUAAAUUCUGCACUUUAAAUUAUGCAAUUUUAAUUAUGCAAUUUCAAUUAUGCAUUUUCAUGCUUUCCUUUAAAUUAUGCAAUUUAGUUUUAUGCUCAUUAGAUUAGAAGCUUUUAAUUUACAAGUUUUUAAAUUUCUAGUUAGCUUUUAAUUCUUAAGUUGCUUUACUUUAAGUUCGUUUAAGUUCUUGCAUAGGUUUAAUAGUUUAAUUUGCCUAGUUAAUCCUCUAGUUUAAAUUCAAGUUAAGUUUACUUUUCAUGUUAAAUUUACUUUACAAGUUUUAGUUAAUAAUCAAGUUUACCGUUUUCGUGUGAUAUAAUUAAUUGCCCUUAAAGAUCUUCCUUGCGAGACGACAUUGGGUUAGCUUACCACUGCUAGAGUGUCCUUGUCCUAUUGCAAGUCAAUCUAGCGUAGUGUUUAGGUUGAGUCACGCACCGCACCUAAUUCAAUAGAUGAUCGUUUCAAUAUGAGCCCUACUAUAACUUAAACUAAAAUUCUAUAAGCAAAUUUAUAUAAUUGUGUAUGUGAAUAUAUAUAAUAUAUAGCGGGGGCUAAUAAAACACUUCUUAAAAUAUAAAUAUAAACGUUUUUUAAUGUACGAAUUUUAUCCAACAGGAUUACGAAUUCAUCCAACAUGUUACGAAUUGUGAAAAAUAAAUUUUUGCUACCUUUGGAUUCGAACCAGGACCACGAAUUCAUCCAAAAGGGUUACGAAUCAACCGUAGAUCUUGAUGAUCUAAGGGCUGAAAAUCAUUUAUAUUUUAUACACUUAAGAGUGUUUUUAUUCUAGUCCUCCCCUAUAUAUAUAUAUAUAUAUAUAUAUAUAUAUAAUAUAGUAGAGAGAGAGAGAGAGAGAGAGAGAAGGACUACUGUUAGGACACCUCUUAAAAUAAGAAAUAAGAAUUAGGAAAAAUAUAUGAAUUUUAUGUAGAACACGUAUGAAUUCGUUGUAUAAAGGUAUGAAUUGCGAAAAAUAAACUUUUGCUACCUUUGAUAUUCGAACUCAGGACCAUGAAUUCAUUUAACAGGAUGAUGAAUCAACCGUAAAUCUUUCGUGGACGAAUAUAUUAUAUUUACAAAAUCUCGAUCUUUUAAAAAUUGUUAUUGUUUUUUUACUAUUACUAUUAUUAUUAUUAUUAUUCCCUCCGUCUCACAAAAACAUGAACAUUUUUCCAUUUUGGGGCGUCUCACAAAAACAUGAACAUUUUUAUUUUGGUACACUAUCUCACCACAAUCCAUUUUCAUCUCUACUUUUUAUAAAGUGGGACCCAGUUUCCACUCACAAUACACUUUUAUCUAAUAUUUUUUAAAACUCGUGUCAUUUACAAAUUUUCAUGUUUUUGUGAGACGGAUGGAGUAUUAUUAUUAUUAUUAUUAUUAUUAUUAUUAUUAUUAUUAUUAUUUCUUUGAUUAGAUAUUCAUUUUUUUAAUCUAAAAAAGGUUACAUUAAAUCAUUUUAAACCCCAAACUAUUUUGGCACUAUCAUUUAUAUCCUGAACUAUUGAAAAUAUUUUUUUAAAUCUUGAACUAUUAAUUUUGUAUUAAUUGCACCCUUUACCUUUUGAAUUUUUAAUUAAUAAGGGAUAUAAUCACGUCGUUUUAUAUAAGGUCAAAAAAAGAAUAAUUCUAAUUAGAUCGUAGCAUCCAGCGAGGCACAUCAAAAUAUUAGAAUAAAAAAAAUAAACGAAUGAUAUAAUUGAUAUACAAUUAAUAAUUCAAAAUUUUAAAAAUUAUUUUCAACAAUUAAGAAUAUAAUUUGAUUGUACGAAAAACUCAAGCACCACACUAUUCCGCCCAAGUUUGAAGUAUCUAUGAAAUCACAAUUCCCAAUUGACGCUAGAAAAUGGGAUGAAAACCGAAGACGUAAACACUGUAGAUCCAAUUUGGGCAAAAGCUUCUUCCAAUUCUCACAUUUCCCGGGCUGCCACUCCUUAUAAUUACUAGCAGCGCCGCCGCACCCUCCUCCCUUAUUCGCCGUUGAGCUCGGGGACAAUCGAAUGGGCAAUCCGAAGCAGAAGUGGACCUCCGAGGAGGAGGAAGCGCUGCGCGCCGGCGUAGCGAAGCACGGCGCUGGAAAGUGGAAAAAUAUUCAGAGAGACCCCGAAUUCAACCACCUCCUCUUCUCUCGCUCCAACAUUGACCUCAAGGUACGUCUGAAUGUACAUUUACUGAGUAGGUCCUUCAGUUGAUUGUUUUUGGCGGUUACGUGUUUUUAUUUUCCCCAAUCGUGUCUCUUGGUGCUUGCUGGUUCCAGCAUUGUGGCAUGUGUGGAUGAAUUGAAUUGGGGAAAUCAUGGAAUAUAUGGAGUUGAGUGUCUGGGCUUUCGAGCGGUCGUUGCUCAGAUGAAGAUUCUCUUUAUCAAAAGAGUUCAUAGACACCAUUUCAGUUUUUCGCAGAAUAUUCUACGUUCUAUCAGGAAAAUUUCUAUCCCAUUGAAAGUGGAUUAACGCGAUUGUCUUCUGCAAGUGCCGAGGGCAUGUAUAUAUAAUAAAUUAACAUUACUUUCAUUUUUAGGUCUUCCUUUCGGUUCCAUUUCAAAAUUGUAUCGGCUUGUCUCUGUAUGUACUGGAGAAGAAUCCUGUCACUUUCUAUGUGGAGGAAAUGAUUUGUUUGGGUAUUAUGUGUCAUUGCUACUCCACGUGCAUAUAUACAAAUAAGCUCUCUGAAUCUACAAACUGAUGUAAUUUUUAUUAAGAGAGAGAACAAAUAUUAUACGCACUAUGUAAACCAGAAAAAAUACAAGUAGUUGAUCUGUGGGUUGCUUAUGCAGGAUAAAUGGCGGAACUUGAGUGUAGCAAACGGCCAAGGGCCUAGAGAUAAAUCAAAGACACCAAAAACAAAGGCGAGCCCUGCUGAAUCCCCUGCAACUCCACUCCCUGCUGCACAGACCUCUGCCAUUGUUCCAUAUUCUCAGGAUAAGUCAGCUGAUGUAGUCAUGUUAGAUUCUUCAAAGCCCUUACCUGAAGGAAAUAGUGCUGCCAAGUAAUGUACUGCUAUUCUUUUCUCAAUAUUUAUUAUGCUAAUCUUGGUCUAGUGAUCUGGUUAACCUGAAGUAUUUUUCUAAUCUAUUGAUGUUGUAAUGUCUGAGAUAUGACUAAUGAUAUUCUCCGUCCGUCCACCAAGAGUGUAACACUUCUGGUGGACACGAGUUCUAAGAAAAUAGUUGGUAGAUGUGUGUUAAGUAUAAAUGAGUGGUUGUGGUUGAAUUGAGUGUGGGACCAUAUAGAAAUGAGUAGUUGUAGUUAAAAGGAGAAAGUGGGGUCUUGUCCCAAGAAAGAAAGUGUUACACUCUUUGUGGACGUCCAAUCGGGUAAUUGUGUCAUACUCUUGGUAGACGGAGUGAGUAUGAGUUAUGAGCUUCUUGAUGUAUUAUCUAUCUUGGUUGACAUCAGGCAAUACAAUUGAAAUGUGCUUAAAUAGACUCUAGAUAAGAGUGUUGGUCCAAGGCGGGCAUGAGAAAGUCCCGAGGCUGAUUAGACUUUCCUUAUAAAGAUUCUUGCAAUGGUCAACAUUUCUGUUCACUUACAACGUUGUAUCUCAAUAGGCUGUAAGAAGUCCAUCGGAGGACAUCACCGGAGACAGCUGUAAUCUAGGCUCAAGCGAUAUUUUUCUGUUGCCUUUGUUUUAUUUCAAUUAAUGAAUAAUUGCAUUCUUCUCAGGUAUAAUGCAAUGAUAUUUGAAGCAUUGUCUACUCUUAAAGAGCCAAAUGGAUCAGAUUCUGGUGCGAUCGCUACCUAUAUUGAGGUUUGUCUCUAAUGUCAUCUUUAAUGAUUUCUACGUCAUGUCUUACUAAAAUUGGUUGCAAGUACUAUUAGCUUGAAAUGUACUUUUUGAGGAUCUCCGAAUGGGAAUUAAAGUUCUCUCCUCAAGAUGUGGUAGGGAUCAAUAGUUCAUUAAUGCUUGACCUGCAAGUUGAAGUUUCUGAGCGCAUAAUGUCACCGAUAAUAUCUCAAGAAGUAGAACAAUUGCGUAUUGCUGUUACAAGUGUAUCUGUAUGAAUUAGGUUUCAACAUUUAAAUGAUAUCUUUUGGUAUGCUCUUUUGGAAAUAUUGAUUAUCUUGAUUUUAUUCCCUCACUUUGUGACGCCCGGGCAGAAGUAAGGAGUGAUUGUCAGUGCACAAGGCACGGACAAAGAGCGGCUCCUAUUAAUGCUUUGAAGCGGAACGAACCGAAAUACACCGGAAAGAGAGAGAUUUUAAGAAUAUGCAAGAAUGAGACUGCAUAUUCGAGGAGAUCUUAAAUGCAUUACUCGUACCAACAAGAUGCAUCUUCUUUUCUGGUGACCAUGUGGAAGAAACUUCAAGGUUAAGCUUGCUUGACUUGGAGAAAUUCCAUGAUGGGUGACCCCCUGAAAGGUUCUUAGGGANUGGGUGACCCCCUGAAAGGUUCUUAGGGAGUGUGCGAGUGAGGACAAAGUACACUAGAAAAGAUUCAUGUUGGUGACUUAGAUCUCUAUCUCUUUAACCGUUUUCUGAAAAAUCUCCUGAUGCUUUUUAGUUUUUUUUACCAACUGAUUUUUACCGUUUACCUUAGAAGACAGUCCAUAUCUCUGAGCAACCCUUUUUACAACCUUUUUACACUAUAAUUUACCAAACACUUUAACUACCAAAAUUUUCUUCAUAAAUUGGUUAGGAGGAGCUUACUUUUAAUACGAGAGCAAACAUUUGUUGUGGUUGUUUAGACUUAGGGGGCGUUCACUUUGAUGGAUUAGCCAUGAUAGAUAAAAAUAGUAAGACUAAUCUCUUGUUUACUUUGAUGGAUUGAAACUUUAUGAUAUCCCAAGACUCUUGAUUAUUUUUAUCAUGUAAGCUAGUUUUGCUUGAUUCUUAUCCCAUUGAAAAAGUGAGAUUGGAGAAAUCCCACUAUUAAGGAUAACAAUACUCAAUCAUGCAUCUUAUCAAUCAUGCAAGUAAACGCCCCCUUAAAGUCCAACUUAUAUAGUCAAAAGAAUUUGUUUUAUUUUCUUUGGCAUUGUAGACUAUAAUAUUUAAACUGGCGAUGGCAAUUGGUUGUCUCGCCCAACCACCUUGAUAUCAUCAAGGGUUUUAAAACAAGAACUUUUUUGCUAUAUGUUUUACAGCAAAGGCAGGAAGUACCACAAAAUUUCAAGAGGGCAUUGAGUUCUAGAUUGAGGAGGCUUGUGCAACAAGAUAAACUUGAAAAGGUAAUUUUGUAUUUUGUAACUUUGGUUGGUUUUUAUUGAUGUACGGAGUGCUAGGAUUCAAGAUUUCUGCUUGAACUGAUGGCUCUUAGCUGAUAUUCUUUGUCUUGUUCAUACAUCUGUUCUUGUUUCUACUUUCCUUGAGAUUUGAUUCUGCCUCUGGAUCGGUGAAAUUGUAUCUGAGUUAUCUGUUCUUUUUAUUGAUGUAGCUACCACUGAAUUUCCUACUGCCAUGUGAAUAACUGAGAUGUUUUUGGAGUAGUCAAUGUUUUGCUGGACAUCAAGUUUCUAUCUUCUAUGACUAAAGAAAAAUGGCCACACUUGUUUUUCGCUAUUUCCAUAUAACUAAUGAGUUCAUGGUACUGGUGAGAGGAUUUAUUAUAUAGCUCUUCAGCUUAUUAUAAAAUGAAAUAAAGUUUUGAUCUUUCUUUAAGAUUUUGUAAUAUGCUUGGCAUCUUUUUACUAAACUUAUAUGUACUUUAAAUCAUCGGACUAUGUUGUGCUUUUACUAGUUAGCUAUGAAACUUGUUCCUGACCUCACCGAGUUGAAAAAUUGGGCCUCCUGUGCAAACAUUGGUUGAGCCCUCUGCUUCUAAAAAGAUGAUUAAUUUGAUGACUAAUUAAAUCAUUUCGUAGGCAAAAAUUGUAAUCCAUUUAAUGCCGAGGGAGUGGGAGCUGAUGAAUAAGUUAUCAAUGAUGGGAAUCCUUUGAUUGAACUUUUUUCUCAUGGACUACUUGAGAUUUCCCUUAGCUUCCUUGAUGUUACUUUGUCAAAUAAGUGGUCAACUAAACUGAGUCGACCAUUUUCUUCAAUAUUAUAGUGAGUGAAAGAUGAAGAUGCAUGAGUCGUAAGAUUACAGUGUUUCUUUUUCAAGUUACGGCCUUUUAUUGUUUACAGUUCACGUACAGAAUCUUUCCUUCUCAGAUAACCAAGAUAGUCUGGGAUCACAUGGAAUCAGAAACUAAACAUCUUGAUAUUGCGUCGAUUUCAGGUUCAGAAUUGCUACAGAAUUAAAAAUAAAGCUCAGUUAGACACAAGAAUCCCCAUAACAAGACCGAAAGAGCUGCAGCCGCCCAGACAAGUCCAGAGCAUUGGUUAUCUAGGCAAUACAGUUGAGGAAGCAGCAGUGUCUGCUGCUUACAAAAUUGCAGAGGCUGAAAACAAAUCAUUUGUUGCUGCUGAAGCAGUGAAAGAGGCGGAAAGGGUUUCCACGAUGGCUGAGGACAUGGAAUCGCUCCUCCAGUUCGCUUCAGAUUGUUUCGAUCAAAGUAUUAGCAGCAAACUCUACUUUCUUCUUAUCUCAUUUCAGGAUAACUAUAAUGCAAAUAUAUCUGUUCUUGUUGUGUAGUUCUAUGAUCAUAAUACACCUGCAUUUUAUCUUCAUGCUGGCAGGUGCACGAGGCGAAAUUAUUCUGAUGGCAUAGGAUCUACACUAGAGAAAUUUCGAUCCCCUUAUUUCAGAAACUUGUAAAUAACUAAGCAGUUGCUGUAUUUUUGUAGACGAAGUGUGUGUACUUGAUUCAUUUACCAGAAAAUGAAAAGAUUUUUCAAGCUCGUAUUGGAGCUUAUUAAAUGGCUUACAGGAUGAGUAAAUCAACAAGAUUAAUGUUUUUUUUUUUGGUUUUUGGAAGAAUGUGAUUUGGUUUAAAAUCGAGGGAGUUUAUUUGACUGUCUAUAGACUUGGAAGAAAAAUCAAUUUGUUUUGAAACUGAAGAUGAUGAUUUUUUUUAUCAUCAAAUGUUGUCUGAAAAUUCUAGGUCUAUUUUGAAAGGAUUUUCUUUCCCUAAUCAAACCACGUCUGCAACUGAUAAUUUUAAAUUUUAAACUACAAAACAUAGCUUGGGAGCUAGAAAUUUGUUUAUAUGUGUACUGAUUGAUUACAGAAGGAAAAUGUUAAAUCAAGCUUUCAAUGAAAUUAUGCAUUUCUAGGAAGCUAUUCUAUCAUAGAAUUUCCAUGGAUUUAAAAAUGGGUUUAAUUAAAGGUUGAAUUCAGGUGGAUGUGGAAAAAAAAAUAUACUACUAUCAAUUAGUACAAUUACUAUGAUUUAUUAAAUAUUUUUUAAUAUAUUUACUAUUGCUUAAUUAACUAAAAAAGAGGAUGAGAAUAAGCAAUAGCAACUAGCAAGACAGCCGUGAAAUGUAGCGCGCCAUUUCUCCAUCUGAAUAUUUCUGCAACUAUCUCAGUCCAACUGUGUGUGAAGCAGAGGAGGAUAGAAGAAAUGGGAGUGGCACAACAAAUGGAUUGCAGAAAUUGGGAGGAAGAUUCCUACAGAGACGCCAUUUUGCAAGAUAGAGAAACCCUCUCUCGGACCGUUUUCCGGACCGCCUACGCUCCAAACCCUAAUCCCAAUCCCAAUUCCGACCAUGUCGUCACCGCCUCCAGCGAUGGCUCCGUCGCCGCUUUCUCCAUUUCCGCCUUCCUCGUAAUUCACCUACCUCUUUCUUUAUGGCUCUUGUUUGUUAACUAUACAAUUACGUUUCAUUCUGACAAUUUUUGGUCACGCAGGAGAUGGGCUGCGGACGCUCGAGGGAUCGAAAGUGAGUCUGAUUUAUUUUUAUGCGCUGUGAUCAUGCUCUUUGUUGGUUGUUUACGCGCGCUGGAUACUUUUAAGGAAAUUGGCUCUUGUUUUGUGUGAAGUUGGUUAGCUGCAGAGCCAGAGUUUGUGAUUCGAGGGCACGAUGGACCGGCUUAUGAUGUUAAAUUUUAUGAUGAUUCUUUGUUGCUGAGGUAUUUACUCUAGUUGGGAAAACACUUUGCGUUGCAUUUCCACUUGCUGGGAAUGGAGUAGUCUUUGUAGAAUUGGGUGCUCACUAGAUUCUGUUUUGAAGUUAUAUUUGGCUAUACAUAGUUGUUGCAUGAAUGCUUGUAUCCUGCGGAUCGUUUUGUCCUUUCAAUCUCUGUGUAAUGUUAUCAAUUGAAAUGAUUUUUCGAAUUAUUUAGUUGUGGUGAUGAUGGUCGAAUUCGAGGGUGGAAAUGGAAAGAAAUUUUAGAAAGCAUGGAAUCUGAGCGAGGUAAUUUUUCUUUUAGAUUGGAACAAUUUCUUUUUGCAACAUUGUCUUGACUAUUCCAUCGUUACAUGUAAAAAUUGGUGCUAUUAUAACUUUGAAACAUUCUUAUAUUUGUGUGAUGCUUUCCUCGAACUUAUUCUGCCACAAAUCUGGACCACUUAAGGCCACCGUCGGUUUUCGUAGUUUUUUUUUUUUACUAGAAAUUUUUUGUUUCUUAGGAUUCCUGUAUCAUGGUACAUCUAAUUCUGCAAAAGGGUGCCUUUCCAUUCGUACUGUUUAUGAAUUUUCUUCUUUAGACUUUUGGUUGCCCAUGUUUACCAUAAGAUAUGAGUUGCCAAUUAGUACUUUUUAUGAAUUUUCUUCUUUAGACUUUUGGGUUGCCCAUGUCCAUAAGAUAUCAGUUCUGAUGCCAAUGUUUUUUGAUCUAUCAAAUUUCCUGCAUAUUUCCUUACCAGUUACCACAAAGCACAAAAGUAUUAUACCACAUAUACCUUUUGCUUCUUUGCUCAACACCUUGAGUAUCAUCUUGUUUCUAAGUGAUUAUUCAUUUAUUUUGCAGGAGCCAAGAUGAAGCCAGUAUUUGACUUGGUGAAUCCUCAACAUAAGUUAGUUAUCUGAUUUAAAAAUUAAGUGCUAAGAUGUCAAAUUUAUUCUGGGAAACUUUUUGUAUUUUACAAGUGAUUUUGACUUUGCCUUUUGUUUCAAAAUGAACUCUCAUCAAUUAUUACAGUCCCAUGUUAAUAUUGGAUGCAUAUGAUAUGCGCAAUGGGACUUGUUUUGAAUCUUUUGAUGCACUGGGUUCUUUAAGAAGUAACAAUUUCUCCAUUUAUUCUCCGUGAAUCUUUCUAAUCUUACCAUAGAAUGAUACGGCGCCACGCGGGAGUCUGAAUAGUCAGCUGAUACUAAUGCUUUCUUAUAAGAUUUAUUUGCGCGACUCACCUAUUUUGACAUGAACUAUGGCUUCAGGUGGAGUCUUGAUGUUUCUCCUACUUUUGUUCAUGUUCUUUUAUUUUCUUUUCUUAUUCUUCUCUCUCUCUCUCUCUCUCUCUGAUCGAAGACCUUAAUAAUACCCAUAGGUGAACUAAAAAUUCCUUUUCACCUAAGUUUUGGAAAGUAUUCUUUCCACCUAUUUUUUCAUUACCACCUCAUACCAGCUAAUCAAAAUCAGCCUGCAUAACCCCAACCUGUUCCAGAAAAAUAGCCCAUACAACCAGACAAGGGUAUCGUUGCAUACAAAGUAAAAAUUUGGGUGUGAAAUAGUACUUCACAAAAGUUUGGGUUAAAAAAGUACUUCAACUUAAAUUGGCUUGUGGUUGUCAUUUUCCCUUUUUAAUUUCCAAUUGCCCAUUAUGUUUGUAGUUUAGAACAGAUUCAGCUUCCAAAGUAAUAAUUCUGCUGUUUUUCUUUAUAUUGCUUUUACGAUCUUUAAAUCUUUUUUGUUUCAGUUUUAUGUUUAUUUAUCAAUAACUUCCUUGUGUUACUUUAUUUGCUUGCAGAGGUCCCUGGGGUGCUCUUUCUCCUAUUCCAGAAAAUAAUGCUAUUGCUGUAGACUCUCAGGUUUGAAAUAUUCUUCUGCUUUUCUAAACUGCUUAUGUUGCUUGAAUACUGCAUGCCUUAUUAAGUACGCUGCUUUGACAUUUUAGGUUUGUAAUUUAUUUAUGGUUCUAGCCUUCUAGGAGAAGACAAAAGAAGGAAGUACCGGUCGUAAUUCGGGGAUAUUAAUUUGUUCUUUCACUUUGUUAUUGGGGUUUCCCAUAUACAGUAUUUCAGAUUCUUUGAGCAAUUAGAUACUUCUAACUUCCACUAACUGCAACAGCAUUAAAUUCAGAUCCUGGAAAACUAAUUUGCUGAAAAGUUAUGUUUAUAUUUCUUUUAAAUGUUUGCUAAAAUUGGUUUAUACAAAUGAGAACUGAAACUACUUCAGCCUUCUAACUUCCCAGAUACUACUGUCCUAGAACCUACCAUCAUAUUAUAUUAAUUUGAUGACAUUUCUCACUGGUUGUAGAGUGGAUCUAUAUAUGCAGCUGCUGGUGAUUCUUGUGCAUAUUGUUGGGAUAUGGUAUAGAUUUUCUUGAGGCUAUUUAUGUGUAGCAGUCUUUUUCUUUUUAUAGAAAAUAAACUUGAAAAACUACUUCAUUAACUUCUUCUGUGUCAAUCAGGAGAAAUGCCAGGUCAAGAUGGUUUUUAAAGGACAUUCAAACUAUCUACAUUGUAUCGUUUCGUGCAAUUCGAGUAAUCAGGUUGUGUUUUCUCUUGUUUGUUUGGUACCCUCUUUAUAUUGAGCUUCUGACAACCUAAGGUUUAACCCUUGAUAGAUUGGUUUAAGCUCUCCUUCUCUUUUUUUUUUUUUUACUUUUCAUUCUUGAGUUUUUCCUUACAGAUGGAAACUACUUCUAGUUGUUAACCUAAUGCUUUUUCUUAAACUCAAAAGAUUAUAUGAGGAUCCCCCUCCUCCAACCUUCUACUUUAAUUAAAACAAUAAAUAAGCAUAAGAGAGAAAAUGAAGAGUCUAGAUUGGAGUUCUAGAUGACUAUCAUUGUUCAAGCAAAUGUUGCUAGUGGAAAAGCUUAGAUGAUAUAGUGUUAGCGGCUCACUGAUUGAACUAAGAUGCUUUGAGAGUGAAAUUCAAAGUAAAAAUUCUCUGGAUGGAAGAAGGGAAGCUCCUUUAAAUCCAAAGUUUUCUUUGAAAUUCUGUAAUUGAGUUCUGAUUAUUAUUUCACCUUUUUGCAUUUCAGAUUAUUACUGGUUCAGAAGAUGGCACAGCACGUAUAUGGGGUAUGUUAUAACUGUGUUACUAGGACAAACUGAGCAUCUCUGCUUUCUUGUGGGUUAUGUUUUUAGUUGGGGUCAUGUUCUUAAUUUUUUUAUCAAUUGAUUUGACAUUACUGAGCAAUGACUUGUGAUGUAGAUUGCAAAAGUGGGAAGUGUAUUCAAGUAAUUAAUCCAGAAAAACAAGGCACAAGCGCUUCUUUUCCAUGUGUUAGCUGUAUUGCUCUUGAUUCUAGUGAGAGUUGGUUGGUAAGAGCAGCUGAACGCAUUGUGUAUUUAUGUAUUUUUCUUUUCUUACACUGCUGUAUUUGGUCAUGUUGUGAAGCACAUUACUAAAUCAUGCAAUUGAGUGUGUACAUGCAUUUAUAAGAUCUCUAGAGAAUACAAUUUUAUUUAUAAUGUAAAAACCAUUGACGUUUAGCAAGAUUUUUUGUAGUCGUGACCUUUAUUUUAGUUGUGGCCAAAUAAUCUGAAAGCACUUCUUGGAGAAAGAAUAUAUUCAUUUAGUUCUAGAAUCAGUUAAUGAGCUUAUAUAAAAAGAUUUAUGUAGAGAUUCAUUUACAUUAAUUACAGUAGGGAUUACCAAGGAGACAUUCUUUUCCUUUAGCUUGUAGUUUGAAAUGAUUUCUGAAAUUGUUAUGGUGAAUGCAGCAAUAUUGACUAUGACCACCUCCUCCUCCUCCCUCUCCCUCAUUUUUCUCACUACCAUUAUAUAUGUCUCUUAUAUCUGUAUGUUUGCAGGUUUGUGGAAAGGGCCAGUCUUUAUCACUUUGGAAUCUUCCUGCCCGUGAAUGCGUUUCAGUUGCUAGAACUCAGGCUUCUGUCCAAGAUGUUACAUUUGAUGAAAAUCAAGUGAGGUCUUGCAAAUCUUCGUACUACUUUACCCAUUCUUUCUUGUCAAUGAAAGCUCAUAGUUCGUGAUCCAGGGUUCAAAGUUUAUAUUUCAGCUAUCUACUUCUAGUGUGAUAUUUAUUGAAACACAGAUCUUUUAAUGAUCAUGCUAUCUCUAGAUACGUAUAUGAUUGUUAUUUGUGAUUUUAGUUCAUCUCCAUAGAAACUUAUAACCACCUGUUCUCAACUUUUCUGCGGGCAGAAAUCAAAUAAGUCUCUCAACUUAUGACUUCUCAAACUCACAAUCUUUGUGAAUGCAAUUAGGUGUCUAUUUUCUUUGUUACCUUAUACCCUGCUGGUAUUGGUUGGACAUUGCAUGAUCUGUAGAGGCUAUAUAAUGUUUUGGCCUAUUGUCUGUGCGUUCUAAUGUCUUGUUUCUAUGAAACUUUACUCCACUGAAAAUGGUUAUACUUUCUCUAUUGCAUCGCCAGUGUUGACUGUUGAAUAGUCGUAUUUCUAGGAUGUUUAUUUCAGUUCAUCUUUAGCUUUCUGCUUUGGGUUCAUCCGCCUUACGUUUGUCAUUCCUCAGAUUCUAGCUGUUGGAGCAGAACCAUUACUCACACGAUUAAACAUGAAUGGAGAUAUUAUUUCACAGAUCGAGUGUGCUCCAACAUCUGCAUUUUCCAUUUCUUUGCACCCUUCAGGGGUAAGUUCUGUUUUGAUAGAUCCUCUGUAAUUUCAGUUUUGGAGCUUGUGCUGCUACUAUUUGGCAGAUAUGCGUGUGCAAAAAAUAUUCUGGAUUAGAGCAUCUGUGGCCUUUGGUGAUGUUAAAGACUCGGAUCGUACAAUUAUGUUAAUAGUUCUAGCUUUUGCAUUGAUUUUAUACCAUCCCCAACCCCAACGCAAAGAAGGUUAACUGAACAACUUUCUAUAUUUACUCUAGUUGGUUGAAUCGAUGUAUGAAGAUAAACAGCAUAAUAAUCUCCUGUUACUCAGGUUAAGCCUCUAUCUACUCACGCUGUCCGUACAUUUUUGUGCUUCUUUUCCAGGUAGCAGCAGUAUCUGGUUAUGGAGCGCUCGUCGACAUGAUCUCACAAUUUGGGAGCCACUUGUGUACAUUUCGCUGUAAGGGGCUGUAAGUUUAGUAUCUGGCCUUGUUUGUCAACAUGAACUUUAAUUUGCGAGUGUCAACAUCCACUCCUGUCCACUGCCCAUCCCGCUUCAUCGUCUUCCAUGAAAAUUAGCGUUAAUGUUUUUGUGGUGCAGUAGAAUGUGAAAGAACUAAUUUUGUAAUUCUGUAGCUCAUAUGAAUUAUGUCUACCAGCUGAUAUUUUGUGUCUUCUCCUAUCCUCAGAUUCUUACUGUCAAUUGAAACUCACUUCUACAACUUUAUUACAUUUAAAUUGGGCUUUAGCUUGCGUUGCCUCAUCUUUAUGGUAUGUGUUUACCAGCAGUGAUAAAGAAAAUCUAGAAUGACUUACUUUUCUCUUUUUCAUUUGAUCAAAUACUAGACGAGAAAUCUGUCAUAAAAAUUUGAAUUCUAUUGGAGUUUCGCUUUGCCUUUUGUAUUCCAAAACAUUUUCUUUUUUGGCUUUGCCAUUUUACAAACUACAAAUUCGCUGACCAUGUGAACACAAAUAAAUGUGUUUUUUUUAAGGAAACAAUUUUUCCGUUUCUUUAUUUGACUCUAUUCUAUUAAUUUGUUGCCCAACUUAUCUAUAUAAUAUAUAAAAGAGGAGUUUUCUCCUUCUAUUUUUUUCUACCAUUUUUUCUCUCUCUUCUCCCACCAAUUUUUUCAUUAUUUUUCAUCUCUUUUUUCUUCUACAAUUUUAAUACUUUUUUAAAUAAUAUCAAAUUUAAUUUAUGAAGAAAUAUUUAAUAAGCAUCUUAUGUUUAAGUUUGUAACAAAAUAUUUAAUAUGGUAUAAAAAUUAUUAAAAAUAAAUUUAAAACAAAUAAGUUCCUAAAAUUUUAAAAUAUUCUAUUUUCUUUCUCUUUGUUAAAAUUUUACAUUUCUUUUAUUUUGUUCUGUGUAUGAAAAUAUUUAUUUAUAUGAAAAAAAUUGAUGGGAGAAAGAGAAAAAAUGGAGGGAAAAAACUCCCCUUUUAUAUAUUAUAUAAAUUUAAAAAAAUAGAAUUUCUUAAUUUUGUGAAAGAAAUUUUGUUUAUGGGUUUAAUUGUAGUACUUAAUGAACUUUGGGGUGUUAGUUGCUAUCAAUGUUAUGUUAAGGGCUUAAGUGUAAUUGGGGUGGUAAUGUUAGGGUGUUUUUGCAUAUUAACCCUUUAAUAUAAUGUGUAUAUAUUAUGUCACCUUAAAUUUUUUCAUGCAUGUUUUGAUUUGGACGAAAUUAAAAUUCAGGGCAAAUUCUGAAAUGAGCUAAUGUUUAUGUAUUUAUACUACAACUUUAUAUAGCUAAAAAAUAUAUCAAAAUUACACUAAUAAUUUUUGGAUUUACAACCAAUUAACGCUCAAAAAUAUGUUGUAAAAUGAAAACUACAGUAAAAAAGUAAUUAAAAGUUACCAAAAAACCCUUUCAAGACCAAUAAAAAAUUUGAAAGAAAAAUAUCUAGAUAUUUGGGUGGAAAUUUUAAAUAGAUAAUAAUCAUCAUUAGAUAAAAAGGUUUUGUCAAGUUCUUUGUCAUUCAUUUGAUAUGCCUCCAAUUAUAACAUGAUUUCAUUUUUAUUUUAAGACUACUAUCUUCAUUCUAAAUAUAAUAUUUUAAAAUAUAAUUUUUUUGUUAUCACCAACUAUAAGAUGGUUUCAUCUUCAUUUUCAUGCUACUAUAUUCACAUACUAUAAUAUUCUAAAAUAUACUAAUUUUGUUUUACUAUUUUAAUUAAAUAAGUAUCACUGUGCAUCGCACGGGAGUAAUACUAGUUUAUGUAAAACACCAUCUUUAAAUUGAGAUUUAUAUAACUAGAAAGGAAAUUCUAAACUUUAUUUUUAGUUGGGAAGUGGGGGAUUUGAGAUUCAUAGCCUGCGUUUCUCAUGCUUUGGGAAAGAAUACCAUUGAGGCAUUAAUGCUCAUGGUGAAAAGUUCUAGUUUUUUUUUUUUUUUUUUUUUUUUUUUUUUGUCAAAGGAAGAAAUUGUAUUAAUCAAGAUCUGUUUGUCAAUACAAUCUUCCUAAGCCAUGUAGGGAAUAUCAAGGGUUCCAAUACAUGGUCGCGAAUAAGAAAUGACAAACUUUGCAAGCGAACGUGUAGCCAUAUAUGUUGAUCUAUGCAUCCUCAGCGGUCCAAGUACAUGGCUGGAAAUAAGAAAUAACAAACUUUACAAGCAAAUGUGUAGCCAUAUUUGUUGAUCUAUACAUGUACCUUAACAAGCAUAUUCUCUCUUGUUAUAUCUAUAAUAUAUCAUGCACAUCUUGAGGAGAAGUUGCUCAGCAUCGUUUAGGCAAGAAAGAGCGCGGGCGGCAAGGCAUGAAUCAUGAUUCCUUGGAUAAUAACUUUAAUUUUUGCCAUGAGAAUGUUGAACGACAUGACUAUGCAUUUGGAAAAAGCAACAAUAAUAUGCCCCUCGUGAUUGCACAAAAGAACACCCGCUCCAAAUUUAUGGCCUGCAGGGUUAUAAUGUGCAUCGACAUCCACAUGAAAUCGUCCUAGCUUGGGCCUAGACAACUUUGUUUAACUUAAAGACAAGUUGAUUUUCUCACGAGAACGUCACUGUCGCAACUUGAUAAUUAUCCCACGAUGCGUAACAAUUAUGCUUUGAGGUAUUUUUCACUUUAUCCUUAGCAUCAUGUAGUAGUUUACACACCAUCACCCGUAUUUUCCGUAACAUGACAACCCAAAGUUCAUAUUCCUCCUUACUGUCUACUCCAAAGUUUUUGAUUUUUUGUGCUUGUGUUGUGCUUAAUGCUCAUGUCAUAGUAUCCCAAAUCAGCAAGGUAAGUCAAAUUAACAAUAAAGGUACCUUUUUGGUCGAAACACCAUCGAAACUCGUCCUCGUGCCCAUGCUCGCCAAUUGGGGGUAUAGAGAAUUAUGUGCCCAUGCUCGUUCCAUCCCAAAACCCGUCUCUACACCUUGUCUCUAAUAUAUCCAAAUUGCAAUUUCUUUUGUCAUAGAGUAAAAGACGACAUGCCCAAGUACAUUUGAAGCCCCGUCUUAGCAUCAAUUCUCAAAAUUUAUUGUACCUCUCAAUAGCUUCUUACAAAGUGUUAGGUAUAUAUGAUUUUUUAGAUUAAUGAGCUACCCAAAUGCUCGAUCAUAUUGCCCCAGAGUAUCUUUGAUUGUGUGUGCUCCCUCUCCAAUGGCUCUGAAAAUUAAAAGACUGUAAUCGACAAAAAAUAUGCGAGUUAUACUCAACUCCUGUGAAAUUGUUAGAGCCCCAACUAUUCGUUUCUCAACCUCGAACUUGUUGAAUAUAGAUGAGAACCUUUGAGCGCACAAGACAAAUAAGAAGGGAGAAAGAGGAUCUCUUGUCGAAGUCCACGGGUGGGUAUGAUACCACCUUAGACGAUCACAUUCAACUAAAUGAGAAUGAGACACAAGUAACACACCACAUAAUAAGACGAUGCAAUGUAUGGAACUAUCCAUUUUCAUAUAAUAAAUAUAAAAAGUAUUCACAAAAAUAAAAAACAUAAAACUUUUAUGAAAGACUGCAUAAUUGCCCUUAUAUCUAUUUUAUGGAGGAUAAUAAUAAGAACUCUAUGGCGUUUGAUUUUUUGUCAAGUAACAUUUUAUCGAUCAGACAAUUAGAUGAAGAGCAUAUGUGUAUUGAGAUGGAGGACUAGAUGUAUAUAGAUGGUUUGUGAUGAAUUGAACCUCAACCAAAAAAGUUAUUUUUUCUGAUCAUCAUUAUCAUUAUCAUUAUGUUGUCCAUUAAUAUUUUUGCUUUACUUACAAAAGUAAAGGGUAAGGUAUUUCACCAUGAUAUGGCUUCAAUCUAAAGUCAGGCAGGUUUGUUUGAAAACCUUAAGAGGACGUUUGGUUUGAAUAUGAUAGAGAAGAUUGAUAUGAUUUUAGGAUAAUUAAAUAAUCAAUCAAACUUUAGAGUAAUUAAUCAUCAUCAAAUUAUAGCAAAAAAUCACUAUUUCACAAUUGAGAGUAUUUAGAGUUGUGAAUUUAAACAAAAAAUCACUAAUUUAAAACCAAGAGUAUUUAGAGUUGUGAAUUAAAACAUACAAACUCGAAUUCACAACUAAGAGUAUACUGGAUUAUAACAAAAAAUUUGAAUUCACAACCAAGAGUAUCUCGAGUUAUGAAUUAUAGCAUAAACACUCAAUUCACAACCAAUAGUAUUCCAAAUUGUGAAUUACGGUAUAAAAACUCGAAUUUACAACCAAUAGUAUUUCGAGAUGAGUAUAUCAUAAAAUCUCGAAUUCACAACCAAGAGUAAUCAGGAUUGUGAAUUAAAACAUAAAAAUUCGAAUUCACAACCAAUAGUAUAAAGAGUAUUGUGGGUUGUGAAUUAUAGCAAAAAAAUCUCGAAUUCACAACCAAGAGUAUUAAGAGUUGUGAGUUAAAGCAUAAAAACCUGAAUUCACAACUAACAAGUUGUGAAUUAUAGCAUAAAACUUGAAUCCAUGACCAAGAGUAUUUCGAGUUGUGAAAGUAUAAAAAGUCGAAUUCACAAUCAAGAGUAUUUUUUAGUUGUAAAUUAUAUUAUAAAAACUCAAAUUCACAACUAAGAGUAUUUCGAAUUGUGGAUUAUAACAUAAAAACACAAAUUCACAACCUAGAACAUUUCAUGUUGUGAAUUACAACAUAAAAACUCGAGUUCACAACCAAAAGUAUCAUGAGUUGUCAAUUACGGGGUUAAAUAGUAAGUAUGAUUAUAUUUUACUCCCUCCAUCCCCCAAACAACUUCCAAACUUUCAUUUUUGAGUCGUCCCCCAAAAUAAAUUCCUUUCUAUUUUUGGACUAUACCACACCACUAAUAAUACCUCAUUUAUCAUUACUUAUCACAUUUUCACCAUUCUCAAUACCCCAUUUACCUUUACUUUUCACUUUUUCACAUUUUCGUUUUAAAACCUAUGCCCCUCCCUCCUAGGAAGUUAUUUGGGGGACGGAUGGAGUACGUUUUUAUAUGAGUGCAUAUUUCUUUAUUUUGUACUCACUCGGCUUGGAUAUUUUAAAAGUCCACUCUAAUAAGAUUAUAAAUCUCUCUCAAAAACUCAUUCGACAGAGCACCGCCAUAAGAUAUUUCCAUUUCACUAUAUCAUACUCCUCCCGUCCAUGAAAAAACUCCAUACUUUUUCAUUUUUGGGACAUCAACUGAAAAACUUCCUAUCUUUUUUGGACUAUGCAUCACUACUUUUAAUACUCCAUUUAGACCCGUACUUUUUACUUUUUCACAACUCUCAAUACUAAUUACAACACCUUUUCACCAAUCUCAAUACACUCAACAACAUUUUCUUAAAACUCGUAUCACUUUCUUCUAAGAAGUUCUUUCAUGGACAUAGAGAGUAUGUUUUACUCAUGUCAAUCUCCAUUGCAACAUACUCAACCUUUCCUUUCUUCCUAUGUCGUAGCUAGUGCUGCCAUUCAAAGCUAAUAAGGAUGUUAUCUAUGAUAAGCCUACCAUUUUAUUUAGCUAUAGACCUACUCUGUAUAUCCCUCAACUAAGCAAAACAUGGGUCUAUGAUCCCAAUUGAGGAAACCAAGUUUUUUGUUUUCGUACCUGGGAAUCGGUUAAGCCACACAUCAUUCUUGAAGAUUCGAUACAAAUAUUUGAAUGCUGCCUCUCUCUCUCCCCUUCCACCCCCUCCCAUUUUAUUGAACUAUGUAGGAGUCUUUUUCAUGUUCUGCAUCUUGUGAAGAUGAUUAUAUAAAAGAGCUUAUUUGAAUAACUUCAUUUGGUUGAAGGGUUUCGGUCGACUUCUAUGUUUCUCAUCAUCCACAAGGAGCUCAUUAAAUCCCCGCCAAUCAGCCAUAGCCUAUCAUUCCUGCCUUCUUGAUCACUUAUCCAUUUGAGUAGAUCCUAACAUAAUCUAUUUUCCUCAAUUAACAUAUUCAUAUAGAACCUCGUGAACCACCAUGUGAGACUGCCCUAUCACAAUCGUGCAGUCCACAUAUCCAAGUAAGAAAGCAUUUGAUCCCCAAAAAUUCUGAAUAAUGAUGAGAUCUCAUUCUAUUAUAAUACAUCCACGACAAAAUACCCGAAUAUCCCAACAUUGUCCUCCAAAAAAUUACAUAUACGAGCAACUAGUUUAGUUUCAUAGAGAACAACUAGAAUUAGGAAAGUAUAUGCGAUGAGACGUCAGAGUUCCUGGAAUACGUGGGAACUUCCCAACCCCUGCGAAUUGCAUACUAUAACACUCACAAUUCUCGUCAGGACUGCUCUGCAGCAGCCACCAUUGUGUACUUGGUUUGCUCAUCACUGCCAUGAAGUUUAGCCAUUUUAUGCUUGGGGCCUCGAGGUUGUCAUCCAAGAAUGGCUUUUCUACACUGAUGCAGUCAUCCAUUUUUAUAGCAAAUGAGUUCGUGGUUGUAGUCCCGUUCUCCAUUGCCUUUCUUUUACAUCAUUUGUGUCUCCUUUUACUUUUUGUGGGGAUACAAUAUCAGUCAUUAUUGUAUUAAUGUUACUCUCAUGGCGCAGUUCUAUCCUCAUUCUUUCUCCCGAAGCACUAUUAUCACCUUCAUUGCUAUUUCCCACCAAUAGUCAGCAUGUUCCCCUCCAACUCCACACCUUGACGAUCCUCAUGUCUUGUGUAAACUCAAUAAUAUUAUCAUAAGCUUAUUCCCAACAUGUUCAGCCUCAUUUUCCACACAUCCAUCAAUGUUUGCCUUUUCACCUUACUGUUAUAUCUCACUUUCACGACCAACUUCUGGUCUCGGGAGAAGACGAGACCCCUAUGAUUAGCUUUGGAUAGGGGCCUACAUCCGUAUGAGUUAGUAUUCGGCCGUGGAUAGUGACUUGUUCGCCGAUAAUCAAUGCCCCUAUUUGUACGAAGCCACACCCUGAAUUGUAGGUUUGUCUUUGCUUCUACAUCAACAUCAAAAAUUUUCAUGUGGUGUUCAGGCAAAAACAAAUCUGAUAAAUUCUUGUAGAGCACCAAAAAACAACACCUUUCUCAUCUCUCAUAGAACUAUAACUGGAACACAUUGAAUGGGCAGUUCACCAAUAUAUCUAAUAGCCCAUACCCGUUCAUAUCCUCCAAGACACAUACCGUUCGCUCCUUUAUCCACCUCUAACACCUCUCUAAUUCGCUCUCCAAUACAUCUGAUAAUUUGGGAUUCCAUGCACGCAAUUGAUAUAUUGUGAAGUUGAACUCAUAUAGAAUUUUGUUGAAAGCAAUCAACAUCAUCAUUUGCAUGGAUCCUGCCUUUCGAAGAAGCAUCAAAUCAUGAAAAAAAAAAAGACAUGGCCCUUACAAAAUGAUUGGUGGACGUCGUAUACCACCAAAUAAUUCCUGCAAUUCUACCAAGAAUUAAAUGAGUAUAGUAAUAAGCAGGGUCGAACCGAAGAAAACGGAGUAAUAACUUCAAAUUCCUAAAGAUCUAAAUCGGUGUAGCCACCACGCCUUAAAUUGAGCGAUAAUACUAAUCAACUACGAAAGCAAAUAAAUUAACAAAACUAGCAAAUAGAAUUUAAUCAAAGAAAUGUAACUCGGCUCGAAUAAAUCCAUACUAAUUUAAUAACUCUGAUCAUCGACGCAAAUAUAAAUUAAUCUCUAUCAACCAACCAGUUAAAGGAUACCGUGAACGCAACGGACGUACCCCAAUUCCUACUUACUUUGUCGAUAGACAGCUGUAGACGCCAGACCUGCCUAUUUCCCUUAUUAAAACAUAACCUAGCUGUAGACGCCAGACCUAGAUUUAAUGUUUCAAUAGCAUUAAGAUGAAGGAAUCCAAUUUAGACAAAUUACCCAAGAACGCAAGUAAUAAUUCGUCUACCCAUUUAUUCCUACUACGAAUAUUGUAGCUUUAUUACUAAUUAGCCAUAUUCCAACAAUUAUGGAUUUGAGGAAUCAAUUGACUUUAAUCCAAUUAAAUCUAAGUUGAUCAGACUUAAAUUAAAUCAGAAUUGACCUUAAACACAAGGAAUAAUUAAAUUGAAAUCAAUAUGACUCAAUUAUAUGAACAAUUAGGUCUCACAUAUAUUAAAUCAGUAUUUCAUUAUUCACAAUUAAACUAAAAAUAAUCAAAUUAAAUAAAUAAAACAUAAUAAAGAAAAAUCUACUGAAUUGAAAUAAAUAAAAUUCUAUCACCAGAAUUCCAAAACGUUAAUUGUGGCUCGAUGCAAAACUCUAAGUACGUACGCUUCCAAUUGCUAAAUAAGAAAAUUUGUAAAAGCUAUCAACUAAAUUCCUACGCCGCGAAUCCCCUUUGCUCUAAUGCCAAAAGAUGGCUCAGCCGCCAAAGUCCUAUUACACCAUCCAAAGCCCCCCCCUUUUCUCCAAGGUCAAAUUGCUUUUAUAAAUCCCAACUUCCGCCACAUUAAUUAAUGGGCCGAAACUAAUUAACUAAAGCCCAUUUUCUAAAGUUAAAAUUAUGGCAGAUCCUUAUGAGGAUUAGUAAUUACGUGCGUCUUUUGGAUCUUCACAAAUUGAUAUUAAAAUCCCAUCUUUUUCAUCCUUCUUUCAUUCGACCUCAUCGUCAUCAAAUUCUUCAAUUCCUGCACAAAAAUUCUUUCAUUCGACCUCAUCGCCAUCAAAUUCUUCAAUUCCUGCACAAAAAUUCAUUUAAUUGUGUAUAUUAAAUUCGCACAAAAUAAUUCAAGAAUAUGAACAACUAAAAUACACACAUCAAUGAUCCUUUCUCUAUCUAAUUCAAGAUAUAGGGAUCUAAAAAAUAUUCUCUCCGUCUCGUAAAAGAGUAUCACUUGUGGUUGUGAGAUAACACGAGUUUUAAGAAAUGUUUGGUUGAUAAUAUGUUGAGUGGAGAAAAUGGAUCCACUACUUUUUUAAGAAAAUGAUGAUGUGUGUGGUAGAUAAUGUGUGGAUUCAUGUCCCAAAAGGAAAACGAUAAUUUCUUAUGGGAUGGAUAAAAAUGGAAAAGUUGAUAUUUUUUUAUCGGACAGAGGGAGUAUAUUACAUCCCAUAGUCUCCACAUCUGUUGAACCGCAAAUCUGGAGAAUUUGUGGUAGUUGUUCUCGUAGCAUUUCGCGGUUGUUAUUUUUCCAGUAAUGAAUUUGUUUGCCCUUGAUUCACCAGAUGCCGCCUCCAUGAAUGAUAAAGUAAUCAUUUUUUAUUGUGCUUUCGUUGAAAGUUUCAAAUCUGCCGCCUAUUUUACAAAGCUUGUGGCUUCUUUGCAAUUAAUGAAUGAUUAUGAUUUUUUCUCUAUAAAAAUGAACAAAUAUUCCCUAUGUGAAAGUUAAGAUCUAGAUUCAAACUCAACAAUUGUCUUCUCCUCUAAAUAAAAAAUAAAAUAAAACAAAUUCCAAAUUAACAACUCAAAGACUAUUGGGCCUUGAUCCAAUUAAAGUUGGCCCAAGCCCAACCCAUUGGUCCCUAUUCUAUAUUUCUCAUUUAGGCAUUUUAAAAAAAAUGUAACUUCUUUGUGGCUCUUUCUCUUCCAAAUGAAAUACAUGAAAUUUUGGGACAAAUGAAAUUUGAGAAGAAUUCAGGGUCCCUUCACUCUCUUCUCUCUCUUUUGUGCUUUCCCCAAAUUUUCACUCUUCAAUUUCCCUCCACUUUUUUCCCUCCGUUUUGCUCCCGAUCUUUACAAAAAUCUUUUAAACCUCUCUCUACCUAUCCAUCCCUUUCUCCCUCCAUCUUCAAACUGCUUUUUCUUUCAAUUCGCGGAACAGACUAAGGUGAGUGUGUGUGUGGGUAUAUGAUUAUCUGCAUGUAUAUAUUUAGUUGGGUUGCUUCGCAAAUCAUCCCGGUAUGAAGUCUUGUGGCUGUCGGUUUUAUCUGAUAUUGUAUGGAGUUGUAUGAGUAUGUGAAUUCAUAGUCUUCUCCGUUUCUAGGGUUUUGUUUGAUUUUGCAAUUCGUCUUUGAAAUGUUACCUCGUUGUUUGACUUCGCAUGCCAGUUUUCUGACAAGGAAGUCUUAUCUCUUUCCAUGGAGCAUGAAUUGAACAUUUUUACUAUAAUAUCGAUGUGAUGCUAGUUUUGCAGUUAGUUGACCUCCUGUAUUGAAUGACCCAAUAUUAGCAAACUAACUGUUUAGAUAGAGACAGCCUUAAAGUGUAAGAUGGGAAGACUUAAAUCUUUGCUACAACUUAACUGUAUGGUUUUUUAUAGAUGGCUAGGAGUUUGGAUUUGAAUUGAACGCUAUUGUUUAGUAUACGUAUCUGUGCUUGAAGUUAUAAGUCUCUCUCUGCAUGAUAAUAAGUUACAAGCAGGAAAUUGAGUUCAAUGCUACCUCUGAAGAAUAUUUGAACUCCAAUUUUGUUUUUUUCCACUAAAUGUGUCCUGUUGUGCAACUGCUAGAGUAACAUACAUGAUUGUACUUUCUAAUUUUCCUUUGGAUUUAUUUGCUUGUUUUGCCAGGUUCAGUUACAGAUCUUUGAUACUGAUGGUUCCAUGAAUGCUAUCAAGCUGCCCUAUAUCGAGACAAUGUACCGUGGCUGUUUCAUCAAUCAUAUUAUGAAAUCAGCUUAAACCUCAAGGUUAUACAAGCAGACUUCCAUUUUUUGUAUUUUAUUUUGGUUGUUGCUUUUGUCUUAGACUAUUAGGUAGUGGAAUUCCACUUGUAUAACUCCUCGGUACCGAGCUUUUCCCAUAACUAUUACAUAUGUUUGUGUGUGUAAAGCAUUUGAAUUAUAAAAAAAUGUCAAUAUGGUUGCAGGUUCAAGCACUCAAGUUAUAUUGUAUGAACAAGAGGAGCACUUUCCGUUUUUGCCUUUUAAGAUAAUUUGGGGAAUAUCACUGCUAGAUAAUCUUGCAUCUCUAUAUUAUUAAUGGAGUGCAACAAAGAUGAGGCUGUCCGGGUCAGGGAACUGGCGGAGAUGAAAAUGAAAAACAAUGACUUUGAAGGGGCUCGAAAGAAUGUACUGAAGGCACAGAAUCUUUAUCCAGAACUUGAGAAUAUUUCCCAGCUGCUUAGCAUCUGUGAUGUUCAUUGUUCAGCUAAAAGAUUGGUGCCUGGAUCUGAAAAGGACUGGUAUGGAGUCCUUCAAGUUGCAAAGUUUGCUGAUGAGAUGGCAAUCAAGAAACAAUACCGGCGGCUUGCUCUUUUUCUCCAUCCGGAUAAGAAUCGAUUCCCUGGUGCAGAGUCUGCUUUUAAGUUGAUUUGUGAAGCAAAUGCUGUGCUUUCAGACCCCCAAAAGAAGUAUUUAUAUGACCAGAAGAUCAGAGUAAUGGUUAGAUCUACUCCAGUAGUCCCUCCACAUCACCACUUGAAUAAAACUUCUCAAUUUAACAAGCAAUAUGGACCUGAGAUCAAAGUUGCCAAUGGUUUUCGCAGUAUGAAUCAACAUCAAACCACGCAGUCGAGCUUUUCUGUCAGGCAGGAAGUGUUCUGCACAAGUUGCCCGUUCUGUAGUUUAAAGUACCAGUUGGAUAGAAAAUUUGUGAACAAAAAUUUGCGCUGUCAGAAAUGCACAAAAACUUUUACAGGUUAUGAAACGGGUGCUCAAGGUAUUCCUGAAGGUGUUCCGCUGGCAUCCAAAUACGCUCCGGGAAGUUCUCAGAAUGGGAUACCGAAUCACGGCGGAAGUAAACAUGGUGUUCAAAAUGGCAAGGGAUCUUCGGCAUCACAUAUGGCAUCUCAGUGGUGUGCCAACAAGCAAACCCAACCAAGUGUUCAGACGGAAAGUAUUUUCAAAGAUAAGGGGGUAGGAAGGCCUGCAAAGGUCAGCAGGAAGGCCAAACGAAAGGGGAGAAGAAGGGGUUCGGAAUCUAGUGAGAGUUAUGACACCUCCAGUGAAUCUGACCUAGAAGAUGUCUAUGGUGUUGCAACCAAUCCGAGUUCUGGACCUUCUAAUGCCCAUUUUCCACGUAGAUCAUCUCGGAAAAGGCAAAACAUAUCCUACAAUGAAGGUGUUGGUGAUGAUGAUGAUGAUGAUGAUGAUCUUCCUCUUCCUAGUCCUCGCAAGAGAUCUCAAGGAAACAAGUUACCAGAAGAUAAUGGAAUCAGGCAAAACAAUGCUUUGGAUGGAGAAUCUGCAAAACAUGAGAAUCAAAAUGGUUUACAUGCUGAUGCAGAUUUUUCCAAGACUGAGAGUAAAGAAACAGGAUCUGUUUACCCUGAAGAAAGACCGCAAAACAAGUCUUACAGUGACACAGGAGUCAAGACAAAGGGAGAAGGUGGUCGUAUGCCAAACAUUGGUGCUGAUGCAAUUGAAACUGAAAUUGACUCUGACAGGGAUGCACACUCUGGUGACGAUUCAAUUAAGGACCACUGUGAGUGUGAUGAUCCAGAAUUUAAUGAUUUUGAUAAGGACCGUGAUGAAAAUUGUUUUGCUGUUAGCCAGUACUGGGCUUGUUAUGAUUCAGCUGAUUCCAUGCCAAGAUUUUAUGCAAAGGUGAAGAAGGUACAAUUCUCUCCAUUUGAGUUGUGGAUCACAUGGUUAGAAGCUGAUCCUGCAGAUGACGCUCAAAAGAAAUGGAUAGAUGCGGAUUUACCUGUUGGUUGUGGGAAUUUUAAGGUUGGCGCAACUCAAAAAAUGUCAAAUCGUUUCACAUUCGCUCAGCAAGUGCACUGUGAGAAGGGUAAGAGAGGUUCUUUAAUCAUAUAUCCUAGACGAGGGGAAGUUUGGGCUCUUUUUAAGGACUGGGAUUUGAGCUGGAGCUCCCAGCCUGAUAGUCGCAGAAAGUACAAAUAUGAAGUUGUGGAGGUGUUAUCGGAUUUUGAUGCAGUGGCUGGUGUCAGAGUUUGUUACUUAGAUAAAGUUGGAGGAUUCGUGAGCCUGUUCCAAAGAAGUAGCCAGAGCGCGACCGAGUCAUUUAUGAUAAGGCCCAAUGAAGUAUACAGAUUCUCACACUGUAUUUGUUCUUUCAAAAUGACAGGCUCUGAAAGAGAAGGAGUGCCAGUUGGCUCUUUUGAACUCGAUCCUGCAGCCCUACCUCUGAAUCCCGAUCACUUGUACUACCCCGGAAAAUCAAAGAUGGGAACUGAUAACACGGAGCCUGGAGUUAAUUGUGCUCCACCAGAGUCGGGUACAGGAAAAGAUAACUUUGUGGAUCUGGAGUGCUCUGAUGGGUAGCUUUAUGAAGUUCAUUGAUCCCUCAGAGAGAUGAACUCUGUCAGGAAAUAUAGAUAUUAGAAAAGAAACGAUCAGGCGGCAGUCACCUGUCGAUGUCAUGCAGAGCAAGUUGUCUUGAAUGAUGGACUGUUGUGAGUUAGAAGAUGAAGCAUGAUGUUGUUAUGACAGCCUCAAGAAGGUGCUUUCUUUUGUUAACUUAUUGAUUGGGAGCUUUAACAAGCAUCAGUUGCAACUUUGCAGGUGACAUGUAUCAUUUUGAAUUAGAAUGUUGAUAGUGUAGUGGAAAUGAUAUAUCUUUCACCUAGUUUUAGUUGGUGCAACUCUUUUGUGAUUUUUGUAGUUGCUGCUCUUCUGUGCUAAUGCAGAGUGCUUUAUUAUGUCUUCGUUUGAGAUCUCUUUAGUUAACUUUGUUUCAACUAUCAUUUUCAUUUGAUCUGAAAGUAUUCAACCCUUUUCUGUUUUUUGGAUUGUCUUGAGAAACACCAUGUCCCAGACUCCCAAAUCAUUCAGUGUUUGGUUGCAUUACUAAACUGGUGACAAGUUCGGGCCUCAUAAAUGUCUUAGAGCAUCUCCAGCGGGCGUUUGGCGCCCCGGAUCGAUCCGGGGCGAGGAGAAGACAGCCGCGCUGGAGAUCUCGGCUGGGUUGAGGCGGCGUCUUAGCGGCGACACGGGGCGAAGACUUUGGUUGAGAGAUCCGUGCACUACACGCGCACGGUUUAAAUUAAAAAAAAAAUGAAACAAACUUUUUUUAUUUAUGAAAUCAGUUCCAGAGAAACGAAAUUUGGGGAAGAAUAGAAACUUGAGAGAGAGGAAAAAUUUGGGGAAGAAAUCAAUUGGAGAGAGAGGGAAAAAUUUGGGGAAGACGAUGGGGGAAGAAGAGGGUAGGUGGGGGUAGGUAUUUGACUUUUUUUUUAAAUAUAUUUUUAAUAUGUUUUGUUUUAUUUAUUGUUUUUGAAUUUUUUGAAUUUUAAAAUUUAUCAUUUUUUAAUUCUUUUUCGUAAUUUUUAGGAUUUUUAAAUUUUAGUAAUUUUUUUAGUUAUUUAAAUUAUGUAAUUUUUUUAAUUAUUUAAAUUAUAUAAUUUUUAUUUUUAAUGUAAUGUUUAAUUUUAUUUUUAAUGAAAAUUUUAAAUUUUAAAAAAGAAGGUAGAAUUGGAGAUUCUAAGAGCUUAUAAAAUGUUUCUUGGAGCUUUUAAUUUUUUUUCCUUGGCUAUUUUUAAUGAAAAUUUUAAAUUUUAAAUUUUUUGGAGCUUAUAAAAUGUUUCAAGAGCUUAUAAGAUGCAAUUUUUAAAAAAGAUUAAGUUUUCAAAGUGUUUGGGUGAUUGAGUUUAUAAGCUAGAGUGAGAAUUUUUAAUUAGUGAGAGAAAAUUUUUGUUAGAGAGAGAAAAUCGAAGAAAAAUGAAAUUAGAAUGAUAUAUGAUGAAAAUAAAAAAUCAUAGUUGAAUUAUUUUUGUAAAAUGAGUGUUGCUUAUAAGAUAAUGAGAAAAUAAGUUGGGGUAGAGGAACUUAAUUUUACAGCUUAUAAGCUCCUUAGAUGACUUGUCUUGACAUAGCCAAGGAAAAAAAAUUACUAUUGUGUGCGUGUGUUGGCUUAGUGGUAAGUGGUGAAUGCCCAAAGUCUGAGGUCCUGGAUUCGAGUUUAUCGUCGUACGGUCUUUAAAUUUUUUAUUUAUUUGUGUAAUUUAUCAAAAAAAAAUACUACUCCCUCCGUCCACGAAAUGAGUACCCAUUUGUGGACGAUACGAGUUUUAAGAAAUGUAUGGAGUGUAGUGUAAAUAGUUUAAUGGUCCCACUUUUUGAGUGUAUUAAUUAAAGAGAUGUGUGGGGUACACUUGCCAAAAAGGGAAAUGGGUACUCAUUUCGUGGACGGACGAAAAAGGAAAUAUGGGUACUCAUUUCGUGGACGGAGGGAGUAAUAAAUAGGAAUAUUUUAAAACUUAAAAAUUCAUGUUCCAAACUUGAAAUUGAAACUUCAGCCAAAAAUCAUGAUUCGGGAAAUUUUCUAUGGGAUGUUUUUCUAUAUAAUCAAAAUUUACCCCAUUUCAAUAUUAUGUCGUUUGAAAUAUACAAAAUAGGUUUGCUGCAUUUAUUUUUAAUUUCUUCUAUCAAUCUCAAAGUAGCUCUUUAGAAAAACACUAAAUUCAAUAUAUGGUAUUACAUGUUUACAACCUUAUAAAACACUCCAAAAUACUAAUAAAUAUACGAGAUAGUUAAAUUUCAAAGUUUUGAACCUUUUAUUAUCUGUUAUAGAUUUUGAAUAUAUAUAUAUAUAUAUAUAUAUAUAUAUAUAUAUAUUAUAGUAANGUAUAUAUAUAUAUAUAUAUAUAUAUAUAUAUAUAUAUAUUAUUGGAAAUGAGUGAUAAGUUAAAUGUAGAGUGAAAUUGAAUUUCACUUAAAAACAUAAUUAAAUUGAUAAUUUUGUUCGAUUUGAUUCAUAGCGUUUAAAAUUAAGAUUUCCAUAUGAAAUCAAGUCAAGCUAAUUUUUAUUUUUAGCAAUAUUACUAUUAUACCUCGUGUUAUGUACGAAAUAAAAAAUAUAAUAACAUUAUAUAGUGUAAAAUAAACUUGCCCUAAUGAAAACAAUAUGAUGAAUUUGACAAUAUUGUAAAAAACGUAAAAUGAAACUGAGGCGAAGCGAUAAGCCUUGAGUUGGUGCGAAGCGUAAGCCUCUAAUAAACAAAAUUAUGCCUCAAAUGAUAACAAAUAAAAUAUAUAAGUGAUACAUAUUUUAAGAUAAUGUAAUUGAGUGUAUUGAGAGAUCAGUCUUAGGCCUAUGGUGAGCAAAUCUAAGAUUAAUACUGAUAUUAUUGAAAUAUCUUCUAUUUGACAGGUUUAACAAACAAGAUGAGAGAAGCUCAAUUCAAGGAGAAACAUUAAUCUGUGUUAUUGUCGGGUUGAUGUCGUGGGAAAAUAUCCCCGAAUGUGCAUGACCAUAAGAGCCAAUCCACAAAAUGUCAAAGAAUGGUAUGAAUUCGGGACAUUAGCCUCAAUUUGUACUAUGUCACCAGCAUUCAACGAGAUCAAGGGGCUACCUAAAUUGAUCCAAGAAACGGUCUAUGAUGCAUGGUCAAUGAACGAGUCCCUCAAAAUGGAUGUUUUGAAGUUGUAUUUCCUUAGUGCAGCUCCUGAACCAACAUGAAAAGAGAAUCCAAGGCUUUUCAUUUCAUCAAACUUCGGAGGCCCGACAACCAAGCUCUUAACCGGAUCAAAGCACCGGAAAGUCAGUCCUCUAUCCCACAUUCACAGAGGAUCAAAUCUCCACAAGGCGAGCAUGAGGAUUAUGGGUUUGUCUCACUAAGAUGGACAAAAUCAAAUCUAGGUUUAAGUUUUUCAGAACUCGAACUUGGGUUCAUUUCUGUUAAAUACUAUGAUAGGAACCACGACGAAGUUUGUAGAAAAGAUUUUCAAGGAAAAGAGGUCACUACUGUGGCAAAACAAGAUCGCGGGAGUAAAGAAACUCGUCGCAAGUUCUGUAAUAUGACUCAUUUUGGCCAUUGGACGGACCACAUCUGUGUGGAAUGCCCCAACUAGAAGGAAUCGUAAUUCAGAAAAGGGUUUUUUACCCAAACCAAAUAAGAAGAAAUUUCAGUCCAAUGAAUGCGAGGAACCUAGGAUUCCUCGUAGACGAGCACUUUGGGCACUGUCACACCCCAAUUCUUGAAGUAAUAAAUAUAAUCGAGGUGCGAAUAACUCAUAGAAAUAAACAAGGGAAAAACCUUGUUAAAAUUUAAAUAGGAUAGCAAGUCGGGCUAUGCCCUUUUGGAUCACAAGUUUUAUUUCAUGCUUCUGACAACUGACAUUCAUUAGCAUAAAACUAGGAAUUUCAAAUUGAAGCUCGGCAUGAAGUCAUUCAAUGUAUAGUAUAGAAGUCUUAGGUUGAGAAACCAAAAGACGUAUAAGUGUUAUUGCUACAGCGAAAGUCUAAAUAGAAAAUUGAACCCUAGCCUCAGCUCUGCCCUGUCAACACCAGCCAAUCAACCUGAAAACAUUUGAAAGUAUUUGGGCUAAGUACUAAUGUACUCAGUGGGCAUACAUUUUCUGAAACAUUUCAUAUUUUGUAAAGAUAGUUUAUCCAAUCAUACUUGACAUAACUUAGAAGGUUUUAAAUUGAAAGAACUUCUAAGCGCGCAUGUUAAAACAUCUAUUUCAUUUGUGCGCACAUGUCACACUCCCUUUCUGUUACUCGCUGUGAUCCCAGACCUUUUAACCACCGACGAAUCUAUUUCUCUCAUUUACUUGAACUAAGGGUGUAACCCAGACAAGUUUCAUUUUACCUCGGGACGCUACCCAGACAGGCCUUACAUUAUAUGCUCCGGAACCCAUCCAGCAAGCACCCUUAUAACGUCUCUUAGUUAGUGCUCGAUGGAGAUCAACCCACCGAGUCAGCUAACGAGUGUACACAAUUCUCAAAUAACGUGUUAGGCUAUAAGAGAACCUCGAACGAUUCGUUGCGGUGAGCCUUAAAUAGAGCAGAGUGCACAUAAAUAUUUUAUUAGAUAAACAGUUUGCAUUUCAUUAAACAUUUAGAGCUUAAUAACUCAAUCAUACUUUAUACAUUUGGAAAGUAAGCCCACCUGGAUAGGCAAAGCCUGAAGAUCAUAAUCAC